Pelobates cultripes (western spadefoot toad) is the source of this 1006-nucleotide non-coding RNA. Lineage: Eukaryota; Metazoa; Chordata; Amphibia; Anura; Pelobatidae. The record is from the annotation of a GenBank genome assembly.
UUUAAAUGUAGCAUUUACUCUUAUUAUUGAUCCAAAUAUUAGGCAAAUAUAAACUUACAUAAUAUAAACAUGUGCAUAAAUAUUUUGUGUGCAUAUACUGUACUUUUGUUUAUAUGCAGACCUUUACUCACAUGUAAUUUUGUGUUUUAUAUGUGAAUUGCCAUAUUUAUGUAUGUGUUUAUGUAUGUACAAAUUCAUGUGCACAUGUCACGUGAAAGACACCGGCCGUUUUAUUUAAACAAAAUCUUUUUAAUAAUUCACAGGCUGUUUAGUAUAAUGUGUGCCCAUACAUAAAUGUGGCCAGCCAAAGUCAGACAGAUUGUCCCCAAAAGACCAAGGAUAGCCUCAGGCAAAAAAAAAAAAAAAACUAACAGUAAUGCCUUCUUUUUUUAAUUUAAUUUAUAUAGCAAAAUACCAACAAAAUAGACUGUCUUUCCAUGCGGUAGUUAGAUUUCCAAAUAUUCUGUUGAUUAUAAAUUCACUAAAGCUGUUUAUCAAAGUAAUUUUAGAUGGUUGUGAACCAGCAAAUGAGAAAAAAAGCAACAACAAAAAUAAAAAAAUAAAACUACCAUCUACAGUAUCAUCAUAUCACAUAUAAUAUUAAUGAAACCAAUUUCUGGUAUUGAAAAUGCAGUGUACUUUGUUAUUUUCUGAAAAAUCCCAAGAUGCAUUUUUUUCUUUCUAAUUUUUAUAGGGAGAACAAGACCAUAUAUAAGAUUUGUACAUACGUAUCAUUAUGCAGUAUUUAUUUUAAAGAAAAAAAGGUUGAUGUAUUUUUUUUUUUAUUUCACAUAAUGUCUGCAGUUCCAUUCAUGGUGGAAGCCAUGGAUAUGGCACUGUCCCAGUGUCAACUGCGGUCUUGUAAAUAGUAUGUUUUAAGAGCAAAAAAAAUAAUAAAAACCAGUUGGAUGAAAUGGCAGACUAGUCCUGCAGAGCACCAACUAAUGUAAAGCAUAUUAAUUACGGUGGUGGUAUUUAACACUUUAAAUAAAACAUUUUCUUUAUA